Molecule: long non-coding RNA, 1135 nt
Organism: Haliotis rubra (blacklip abalone)
Lineage: Eukaryota; Metazoa; Mollusca; Gastropoda; Lepetellida; Haliotidae
Exons: 2
Source: RefSeq, a predicted model, not a curated record
UUCUUUGAUUUAUCCCAGUUGAAGCUGGUACAGUAAUGACAUAGGUUGAAUUCUUUGAUUUAUCCCAGUUGAAGCUGGAAUGGUAAUGACAUGACAUAGGUUGAAAGGAUAACAUCUCUAUUUACACUGUUGCAAUGUUUAAGUGCAGGUGAAAUCACUGUUAAUCAUGAAACAAUAUAUUUACGCACGAUCAUGCCCUUUUACAAACAUUGUGCUGUGUCCUGUUUGUACAGCUUUAAUACAGAGCAGAAAACUAGAUGCAGGUUUGCUAAUAAUUUUAGAUAAAACGAUGGUAAUUUAUGGAUGUCAACAUUUGUAAUACAACCGACACAACGUUUGGAGAAUAUUCUUUCACUUCAUUUCACCUGAUGAAGACGUUGUGUCACAAGUUGACCUCCAUAACUUUUGGUACAAAGUGUGAAUCCCAUUUCUGGUGUCCCCCGCCGUGAUUCCACCUAGAUAUUGCCAGGACAUUGCUAAAAGUGGCAUAAAACUAUACCACUCAUUCACAUCAUAAGUGGGGGAUGGGGUAGACUAGUGGUUAAAGCGUUCACGUCAUGCUGAACACCUGGGUUCGAUUCCCCACAUGGGUACAAUGUGUGAAGACCAUUUCUGGUAAUCCCCCACCAUGAUAUUGCUGGAAUAUUACUGAAAGCAGCUAAAACACAUACCCACUCACUCUUUCACAUUUAAUAACUGUGGCAUUCCUGAGACAGCUGUGUAGAUAUAUCUAUGGCUACUGUAAUUAAUGGCAAAUGAGGUUUUUAAUUUAUGUUUCAAUUAUUGUAAAUAUUCUUCAAGUGUAUGGUUCUGUUAUGACUCAUAUUAAUUUUAUUUCUGAUUGUAUAUAAGAACAAGAAUUAAGAUAGAUGUUAAUAGUCAUUAGAGUUUUUAUUUUAUUCUAUAUUUGUUAAUACUCUGUUGACUUUUAUGCUCGAUAUCAUCUCAUUUUAUAAAGGAAUGGUUUGUAGUGUCAAUGCUGAGUCAAAGUAUUAUGUAGCAUAAUUUAGUUGUGUUUACAACAACUAUGAACUAUGAGUACUGUGUUCAAAUGGUGAUCAUACAUAUUUAAUUGGAAAGGUGGGUUGUAAUUAAAACAUUAACUUGUCUGCCAAGCCCCAGAUAUUGGCAGAUC